AUAAGGCUGAGGUUUGCAUUAGUGAAACGGCCUUCUUGGUCGAAAGCUCGGAUUGUUGCUGCUCCCGUUAGUGAUUCUGCAAAGUGGUGGAGAAUUGGUGCUCUUUUAAUCCCAGCAAGGCGGGCCAGUUCUCUUGCAGUUGAUUGCUGUAACUGGAAUGAAGACCGCAAACACUUGCCAUGCUACCUGUGACAUCACAGCGAUAGUCCCCAAAAUCCGUAUUAUUGAAAAUGCGCACCAACCUAAUUUGCCUGCUAUUUCCAAGUCUAGCACACUUUGAUCUGUAGAAGCCUGCAAUUACAUAAAAAGGAUAUUAGGUCAUAUGCAGUAAUAUGUAGUCAAUGAUCUCUAAGAGAUGGAUAUCUGACAU
Molecule: long non-coding RNA, 370 nt
Organism: Telopea speciosissima
Lineage: Eukaryota; Viridiplantae; Streptophyta; Magnoliopsida; Proteales; Proteaceae
Exons: 3
Source: RefSeq, a predicted model, not a curated record